Molecule: long non-coding RNA, 222 nt
Filed under: Olea europaea (common olive)
Lineage: Eukaryota; Viridiplantae; Streptophyta; Magnoliopsida; Lamiales; Oleaceae
Description: long non-coding RNA (OEUR_LNC015057)
Source: RNAcentral
GUUUUAAAUACUCCAGAACAGUUAAAUCUAAUGAGAGAAGGAGAAGAAGAAGAAAUAAAUGAGAGGAAAGAGCGCAAUUACUCUCACAGGGGUUGGGCAAAUCCCACUAUACAAUCUCCAGUAGUCUCAAAGAUCAAGUCCAUUCAAAUAAAUUAGUCCCCUGCUAUACACCUCCUUUCUUUUGGAUCCUCAAACUGUGUAAUAUGGAUUCCAAGAUCAAUA